UGUGUCCUGGUGCAGGUAGACACUGCGGAGGAGCACUCCUGGACUGUGUCCUUUCCAUAGCCUUGGCGUUUGCUUGGAUGUAAUGAAGCAUCACUAACAUGCAAAUAGCUGCUAGUGCCAAUCAAACUUAGCCUAUGUCUGUCUUACAAAGAUCAUGAAACUGACAUUUUCAUGGCUGCUGUGCAGCUGACCUCUGAAUAAUUCCACAUGCCUCACUAUGAUGUUAGCAAUCUUCUGUAACAAGAAAUGUGUGUGCAGAAGGUUGUGUGUUGCUCUUUUUAAAUACCCAUGUUUCCAAACAAGUAAAUAAAGCAACAUGUCAGCA
This is a long non-coding RNA of Dermochelys coriacea (leatherback sea turtle), 325 nucleotides long. RefSeq lists it as uncharacterized. NCBI's taxonomy places the organism in Eukaryota, Metazoa, Chordata, Testudines, Dermochelyidae. The record is from RefSeq and is a predicted model, not a curated record. The transcript is spliced from 2 exons.